Molecule: ribosomal RNA, 502 nt
Filed under: uncultured Glomeromycotina
Lineage: Eukaryota; Fungi; Glomeromycota
Description: partial small subunit ribosomal RNA
Rfam family: Eukaryotic small subunit ribosomal RNA
Source: RNAcentral
CCAAUAGCGUAUAUUAAAGUUGUUGCAGUUAAAAAGCUCGUAGUUGAACUUCGGGGUCUACCCAUUGGUCAGGCUUAAUUGUCUGCACUGGUGAGAUGGAUCUCUACCUUCUGAGGAACUUUCAUGCCAUUUAUUUGGUGUGAUGGGAAAUCAGGACUGUUACUUUGAAAAAAUUAGAGUGUUUAAAGCAGACUAUCGUCUGAAUACAUUAGCAUGGAAUAAUGAAAUAGGACGGACUGAUUCUAUUUCGUUGGUUUCUAGGAUCACCGUAAUGAUUAAUAGGGAUAGUUGGGGGCAUUAGUAUUCAAUUGUCAGAGGUGAAAUUCUUGGAUUUAUUGAAGACUAACUACUGCGAAAGCAUUUGCCAAGGAUGUUUUCAUUAAUCAAGAACGAAAGUUAGGGGAUCGAAGACGAUCAGAUACCGUCGUAGUCUUAACCAUAAACUAUGCCGACUAGGGAUCGGACGAAGUUAAUUUUUUAACGACUUGUUUGGUACCUUACG